UGGGGAAUAUUGGACAAUGGGCGCAAGCCUGAUCCAGCCAUACCGCGUGAGUGAAGAAGGCCCUCGGGUUGUAAAGCUCUUUUGUUGGGAAAGAAAUCCUGCCGGUUAAUACCCGGUGGGGAUGACGGUACCCAAAGAAUAAGCACCGGCUAACUUCGUG
This 160-nucleotide ribosomal RNA is filed under the name bacterium 081644. Its description in RNAcentral is "partial 16S rRNA". It matches the Rfam family "Bacterial small subunit ribosomal RNA", at positions 355 to 507 of the family's 1533-position model. The record is from RNAcentral.